Molecule: long non-coding RNA, 495 nt
Filed under: Brassica napus (rape)
Lineage: Eukaryota; Viridiplantae; Streptophyta; Magnoliopsida; Brassicales; Brassicaceae
Description: long non-coding RNA (BNAP_LNC024381)
Source: RNAcentral
AGUUCUUGGCAGUGACAACCAAUUGUAUCAAAAACAUAUGUAUUGGCUUUGUAUCAGUCCACAACUUGUCGUAUCAAAUCAAAGAAGUUAGGUAUGGACAAAAUCUUUUUUUUUUUCUUUUGGUGAGGGUUUUGAUAACAGAAUCCGUGUCCAUGUUUUGUGGUAUAGUUUUAGUAACAUGAGUCCAUGUCCACGUAUUGUUGUAUAGUUUUAUUGAAUCAAAACAUAGAGUUUGUCCACGUUAUCUACUAUAAACACAUUAACAUCGCAUUUCCACACAUUACUCAUCACCCAUCCACACAUCACCCGUCCACAAAUCACCCAACCACGCAUCAUCCGUCCACAAAUCACCAUCCACAUAUUACCUGAGUGUCCAAAGUGUCGUUUCCAUUAAGGAUAAAAAUAUCUACAAUCUGUUUCUGGCCCACAACAAAGUGUGUCACAUGUAAGAAGUGUCUCUAGGUGUAAUAGAAAGUCAAAAAGUGUCUCUGUAAU